UGCGAUGCAUUAGCUAGUUGGUAAGGUAACGGGACGUUACCCAAGGCGAUGAUGCAUAGCCCGAGUUGAGAGACUGAUCGGCCACAUUGGGACUGAGACACGGCCCAAACUCCUACGGGAGGCAGCAGUAGGGAAUCUUCCACAAUGGACGAAAGUCUGAUGGAGCAACGCCGCGUGAGUGAAGAAGGUUUUCGGAUCGUAAAGCUCUGUUGUUGGUGAAGAAGGAUAGAGGUAGUAACUGGCCUUUAUUUGACGGUAAUCAACCAGAAAGUCACGGCUAACUACGUGCCAGCAGCCGCGGUAAU
Molecule: ribosomal RNA, 305 nt
Filed under: uncultured Lactobacillus sp.
Lineage: Bacteria; Bacillati; Bacillota; Bacilli; Lactobacillales; Lactobacillaceae
Description: bacterial SSU rRNA
Rfam family: Bacterial small subunit ribosomal RNA
Source: RNAcentral